AUGAAACAGAUGGUCAUAGAAUUGGUUCAGUGGUUGUGAGUGCAGCAACCCAAGAGUGUCUUAUCUGAAAUACCACCAGGAAUGCCUGGACACAGUAGACAAAGGUUGUUCAACUGGACGCCUUAGGAUACAUGCUUCCAAAAACAAAGUAGCUGAAAAGAAACUAGAAUAACAGGAUAUCAGAGCCAGAGGAGCAUUUGGAGUACGGGAAGGAUGAAAUUACUUUUGAUGGAGAGAGCAUUUAGUGUCUCAGAGAGAAGACAGGACAUCAUUCAUCACUUUCAUGAUGGGGCCGGCAGAUACCACCAUGGUGACGUUUGUGGCAGAAGAGGUGGAGCCAGGGACUGGGGAGAAGAAACGCAAACACAUGAUGGGUUAAAAACUGGUGAAAUCGAAUAGGUUUAAUCAGGACUGAGGAAGGUCAGUAACUGAAAUUCUUAACUUACUGUUGAGAAAAACGUGAUCACUCCCCACAGCACUUUAAGAUCCUUCACCACAAAAACAAGGUUCGAGGUGCCUGAGCUCAGAGCUGAAGGCACUGCCUGUAGCUCAGACUCUGACAAGAGUGAGGUAGAUUGUGGCCAGCAUGCCAGGUAACGGUCUGCAGUUGCAAUAACAGAAUUAGAAGGUGGGGGUGUCAUGGAAUCUUAGGAGCCCUGCAUUCCAAUUGCCCAGGCUUUGCUGAAACACAGGCACCCUGGUCUCACUUGAGGGUCACCACCAAUGGGGAUCAUUCCUUCAGCAUUCACUCUCAGUAUUCGUGUACCCUUGUGACAAUGCCACAGACCCAUCUCUUUCCCAAUACAUCUAAGCAUAUUCCUCACUGUUUAUCUCUUGUCUGUACAACAUCAUCAACCAGAAACAGUUUCCCAACAGGUUAUAUUUUCUUAAUGGUAGUCAUGAAGUCACCCCACCUGCUCUAAGUUAAAACAGAGCUUAAGCCUUUUCCACAGGUAUAAGAUAUCAAACUUUUAGCCUGCCCUGAUAUCCUCUGGGUCUUCUGCAGUUUUUUCUGUAUCCACUAGAAAGUGAAUGAAUAAUUCAUUUUUUAAAAAUGUUUUCUUUCCUGUCUCAGUAUUCUUCUUGCUGCAUCCCAUGGUUAUGUUGAUUUCUUUUUUCUUACUGGGGCACCAUCUUGGGCUUUCAUUAUGCUCUAGACCAGUUUGACAUCCCUACGUCCAAAGCUCUUCCUCUACAUGGGUUGAUUUGUUUUUUAAUGUCUCUGAGCACUACAUUUUAUACUUGUCACUUAUGAAUGUCAUUCUAGUGCCACAAGAGCUCUUUUCAAGAUAUCAAGUGAUCAAAAUCAUUUAUAUAGAGAGAUCUCCUGAAAACAUGUGUGACCAUCUAUUUUGGGAAGUUUCAUAAACUUGAUGCUAUUUUAUUGUUUCCAUUUCAUUUUCCCAUAUAUUGAAAAGAACAGGGCCAUGAACAGUUCUUAUGGAAUAUGGUUUGAUAUAUAUUUUGCUGAGUUGGACUAACACCAUUUGUUUUUGGUUACAUUCCACUAACAGAACAUGGCAAGAUAAGUUUAUGGUCAGGGUUGGUUGGUGAUCCUCAGUGUUGCUGCGCAGUAGAAGGUGAGUUUGAGGUGAGAGGAACAAGUAGGAAAGAGUGAUCCCCUGAACCACCUCCUCACUUUCUUAGCUUUCAACCCCACCUAGGUUUUGUGAGCCUGGAACUUGGGAGACUGUUCGGUAGCCCAGGUCUCCUAAGAGUGGGUGCAGUGGCUGUGACCCUGGGCUGCUCAGCAUUCAUGUGGAAAUGAAGGAAGGAGGACUGGAUCAAUCCCAUUUGAAAGCAUCCUUCUCUGCAGCCCACACAAUCCUCCAAUGACACUGACAGAGGUGUACCCUCCUAGUGUACUGGGACCAAAAUUCGGAAGUGUCUGCAAACUUGCUUUAACCGUAUGGGAAAUAACCUCUAUCACCUGGAAUUUCCUUGGGACUUUGGAAAAUACAAGAGAAGUAUGAGACUUGGGUCUUCCCUUGGCUGUGUUUAAUUCACUCUUCUAUGGAAUACCAAUGAUUCUCACUAAGACUUUUGCCUUUUUAUAACCACAAUGUAUGCUUUAUGGAGAAGAUUUUACUCUUUGCUCUACUUAGAAAGAAUAAAUAUGAGCAAUGCUUUA
This 2131-nucleotide long non-coding RNA is filed under the name Homo sapiens (human). RNAcentral describes it as "HSALNT0295035". Lineage: Eukaryota; Metazoa; Chordata; Mammalia; Primates; Hominidae. The record is from RNAcentral.